UACGAAGGGGGCUAGCGUUGUUCGGAUUUACUGGGCGUAAAGCGCACGUAGGCGGAUCUUUAAGUCAGAGGUGAAAUCCCAAGGCUCAACCUUGGAACUGCCUUUGAUACUGGGGAUCUUGAGUCCGGGAGAGGGAUGCAGAAUUCCAGGUGUAGCGGUGAAAUGCGUAGAUAUCUGGAGGAAUACCGGUGGCGAAGGCGGCAUCCUGGACCGGCAUUGACGCUGAGGAGCGAAAGCCAGGGGAGCAAACGGG
RNAcentral lists this ribosomal RNA (253 nucleotides) under uncultured bacterium. Its description in RNAcentral is "partial 16S ribosomal RNA". It matches the Rfam family "Bacterial small subunit ribosomal RNA", at positions 524 to 776 of the family's 1533-position model. The record is from RNAcentral.